This 424-nucleotide ribosomal RNA is filed under the name uncultured bacterium. Its description in RNAcentral is "bacterial SSU rRNA". It matches the Rfam family "Bacterial small subunit ribosomal RNA", at positions 958 to 1385 of the family's 1533-position model. The record is from RNAcentral.
AACGCGAAGAACCUUACCGAGGCUUGACAUCCCUUGACAGCCCAGGAAAUGGGGUUUUCUCCGCAAGGAGACAAGGAGACAGGUGCUGCAUGGCUGUCGUCAGCUCGUGCCGUGAGGUGUUGGGUUAAGUCCCGCAACGAGCGCAACCCUUGUCGUGUGUUGGUCCUUUGGAUCUCUCACGCGAGACCGCCGGUGACAAACCGGAGGAAGGUGGGGAUGACGUCAAGUCAGCAUGGCCCUUACGCCUCGGGCUACACACGUGCUACAAUGGAUGGGACAACGAGUUCCAAGCUCGCAAGGGUAAGGUAAUCUCUUAAACCCAUUCUCAGUUCGGAUUGAAGGCUGCAACUCGCCUUCAUGAAGUCGGAAUCGCUAGUAACCGUAGAUCAGCUACGCUGCGGUGAAUACGUUCCCGGGCCUUGUA